GAAAAUUCUUCCUCAGAUUUUUCUCUAAAAGUUCUGAUGACAUCCUUAAUUUUUUCAGUCUUUACCAUGGGAUAGAAUUUAACCAUGAACUUCCUAGACAGUUGUUCCCAUGAUGUGAUGGAAUUAGAAGCAAGAGAAUACAACCAUGCAGCGGCACGAUCCUCUAAAGUCAUGGGAAACAACCUUAAUUUAAUACCCUCUUCAUCUAAGUUUUGAUUUCUAAACGUUUGACAGAUUGUCAAAAAUUUGUUUAGAUGAAUAUACGGUUGUUCCCUCUCAAACCCAUGAAAUUUGGGUAACAUGUUUAUUGUUGCAGCCCG
RNAcentral lists this long non-coding RNA (320 nucleotides) under Phoenix dactylifera (date palm). RNAcentral describes it as "long non-coding RNA (PDAC_LNC016827)". The record is from RNAcentral. Lineage: Eukaryota; Viridiplantae; Streptophyta; Magnoliopsida; Arecales; Arecaceae.